GGGGGGGGGAAGGGGACGAGGAAGAGGGGGAAGGAAGGAGAAACCCAAGGGAAGAGAAGGGGCGGCGGGGGGGAGAGCGAGGAGAAGGAGGAGGGGAAGAGUAGAGGAGGAGACGGGGAGGAGGAAAAGAGGGAUGGGGACAGGGAGGAGGGGAAAGGAACGAGCAAGAGCGGGAGGGAGAAGGAGGAGGAGAGGGAGGGGGACUGGGAGAGGGAGAGGGAGGAGCAUUAGACGCAGGGGGAGGAAAGGGGCUGCAGGUUGCAGGGCGCUGGGAGGCCGGGGGGCGGCAGUACAGGUGAGUUCUCGGCCCCGGUCCCCUUCAUCCUCCAUUUCCAUCCCCCCUCCCUCUCUUCAUUUUUUUCUCUUCGCCACCACCUCUGAGAAGGCCGUCAGGCUUGGCUCUGGCAGACCGCCCUCCCCCGCCAGCCAGGUUUCGUCUGCACCGCAUUCGGACAGCAAAGAGUGCCCGGAGGCGGCCCGAGACAGCGAGGCCCCGCAGGCCGCCCUCCUGGGCCGGGAAGGGGGGUGGGGGGGCGCUCGUUGCCCUGGUGAGCCCCUUUCACUGCCAACUGUUGCCCCCGGAACCAGAAGGUUUCAGGUUUCGAAGCAGCUCAAAGGCCGGGCACCGCGCCCAGCGUUCGGACGGAGCCGUUUGUUUGCCCCCAAAGCCGGGGUUGGGGGCGGAAACCCCCCCCCCACUCCCCAAGGCCUGAGAGCUGAGCAUGCCCAGUUCCCUAGGAAAAAACCAGGGAAGAAUUUCCCAAGAGAGCGGGAUGGCAGCGGGGCACGAUCCCAAGGCUGGGCACGAUCUCGGUGCGGGGGCUGGGGGCUGGUACACGGGCCAGAGCAACAAGUACCGCCACACCGUGGUCCGAAGAGGAGAAAGGAGUCGCCCACUCCGGGUCGCCGGAUCCAGCCACGUCUGAGCCCCCAGGCUUGGGACGCCGGGGGAUACGAUGAGGGUAUUACGCACGGGCCAGUGGGAGAGCCCUGGCCUUCGUUGGGAAGGACUCCCAAGCCCCAAGGAGCUCCAAAUGACCUUGGAACGCAUCUGGGAGGGUGUCUCCAGAGGCACCUAAGUCAGGAUUCAUCAGUACAAGAGGGAUCACACCCACUGGACCACCCUGACAAAAUGGUCUUCUGAUUGUUCUCCAUCACACUCAACAUUCUGAUCUUUACCUCUGGGAUUGGUGCCUGGAAUGCCCCCCCCCCCCCCCCCCCAGCUUUUUGACUUUCAAAAUUGUCUCCAGCAUCACCAUUCUUGUGAAGUCCCCCCUCCUCUUUUUAAAAAAUACCUAUCCCUUCCUCCCAGUCAUAGGAAUUACUUACAUCUUUUUGUAAACACGUAAACACAUAUAUCUGCCCUGGUACAAUGUAAGCUCCUUCACAGCAGGAGAGAUUUGGAUUUGAUGUUAUAACCUCAGCACCUUGGAUAGCGCCUGGCACUUAGAGCUAUAGGUGCUUUAUGCGCAAUUGUUGAUUGAUUGGUUGGUUGAUGCUAUAUUUGUUAUACCUUCUGCAGUCUGAUCUAUGAUCUAGAGUCCCCAGUACACAGAGCCGGGGGCUUGAUCAAGAAUUAGGCAUCAUGGUGUAUUAGGUCAAGUGAUGAAGUUAGAAAGGUUUGGAUUCGAAUCCUACUUCAGACACUCUGAGCAAAGCAUUCUACCUAUUUACAUUGUAGUUUCCUCAUCUGUAGAAUGAGAUGGUUAGUUCACUAAGGUCUCUUUCAAUUCCAGUUCUAUAAAGAAUAGGAUUCGUUGGGGGCAUUUGUUUUUAUUUUUUAUUGAGUUAUGUGUAUGUUAGAGUUUUUGGUUAUUUUUAUUAUUUUUUUGUGGGGGCAAAUAAAAGGUGGUACUCAUCUAAAAAUUCCCUUUUUAUUGGCCAUCCAUCUCAUCACCAAUGUUUUCCCUAUGGUGAUUAUCCACAAUUUAUCCUGUCUACAGAUAGUUUGUACAGGGUCCUUUGCAUGUUGUCAUUUCUAUUACACUUAAGACUCUUUGAGAAGAGGGGCUUUUCUUGUCUUUUGCAUCCCCAGCACUUAGCAUGUGGUAGGUGAUUAAUAAAUGUUCUUUGAGAAACUGACUGCUCAGUGGUGAGAACAGGUAUUGAUCAUUCUUGGGAAAUGCACCAAUUCUCUUUGCUCAGAAUAUAAGUACUGCAAUUUGCAUUUAUUGCACUUAGAAUAAUCACUGCACUGUGUUCACCCACCCACACACACACACACACACACACACACACACCUGGCACACACUAAAGAAAAAAAAAAAGAGUAAGUUACUAGAGUCAGCUGGGAACCAAAGUGAAUUGAAUACUAGGUACCAAAGUAAAUUGAGUGUUAGGAAGAUUUUUUCAUGAGUUGGAAUCUGGCCUCGGGCACUUACUUAGUUAUGUGUCCCUGAACAAGUCACUUAAUCCUAUUUGCUACAGUUUUCCCAUGUGUAAAAUGAUCUGGAGAAGGAAAUGGCCAAUAGCUCCAGUAUCUUUGUCCAAAAAUAAAUUAAUAAACAAAUGGGAUCAUUAAAAGUCAAAGGUGACUGAAAAAUGACUUAACGAGAAGUUACCUAGUGCAGUGACCUAUCAGGUUUUACCUUCUUAGUGUGUAAGGCAUAGGUCAUCUGUAUAGAGAGCAGAUUAGAAACCAUAAAAAUGGCUCAUGCUGAUCUCUGAAAGGAGUGAGCCCAAGGGAGGCUCUCUGUGAAGGUGUAGGGGAGGUGAUGUGGAAUUUGGAAAGUUGUUGAAGUGAGAGGCCAGGCUCAGACUCAUAGAUACCAUUGACAAGGCAGAGAUCAUCUCACUCAAUAAUAAUUAUCCUCCCUCCCACAACAUACCCACAAAUCAUCCUCUACAUUCAAGCUACUGGCAAUGUCUUUCUUAAACUAAAUGAAAGAUAAAACUGAUCUCUGUAUCCUAUGCCCAUUAUUCCAACUCCUGUUUUAGUCUGAAGACAAUAGGAACUUAAUAAAUGCUGAACAACUGGAAGAAUGAAUGCAUCCUCUGAGAAUCUGAGAUGCCAGUCCAAUCUUACAAAAAAUAAGAUUUUGCUCAUAGGCAAAUCUUUCAAAUAAGUGAGAUUUUCCACAUACUCCCCCCUCAAUUCUCCUGCAUACUUUCUCCAGACUACACAGUAGUUUAGUUGCAAUAACUAACCCUUAUAUGAAACAAUUUUGAACUGCUCCUCUUCCAUCUCCUCCUUCCUCUUCUUUCUUCUCUUCUUGUUCCUCCUCCUCCUCCUCCUCUCUUUCAAGUACCUAGUCCAUCCUUGGCAAUGACAGAAGCUACAACCAAGAUACCACCCAAUAUUUAAUAAACCUAUGUUGAAUAUAAUAAAAUUCUCUCAAAGAGGAAGUACUCUUAUAAAUUGGCACCUUCUUAAGCCCCUGCUUUUUAUCAUCUCCACCUUUGCAAAAACUGGAUCUCAUGAAAAUCAGGGCCCAAAACUUGGUCAGAUGAACAGAUAUACUCCUUUCCCUCUGCCACUCAAAAAGUCUUCCCUAGUUCCCUAAUGCUUGGGAAGGAAGGUUCAGAUUUCUUUUUCUUUCUCUCAUGGACUCAAAAAUCUGUAGCCAAUAAAAAAGCACCUACUUGGUGGCAGAUAUUGGGAAAAUCCAAAACCAAACAAUAGUACAGUCUCUUCCCUCCAGAAACAUACAUUCAUAAGAAAGAGAGAAUAUCUCUCUUCCUGAAUCUAUACCAAGCAAAUAAAAGAUCAAGGAGAGGGGAACAAGAAGUUAAGGCUUCAUAGUCUAACCAUCUCACUUGUGUGGAACAAUGUAUUCCAGUCUGUCCCCUGAAUAUAUCUUUCACUCUCCCUUUUAUCCCUUUUUAUCCUGGAUGGUCCUUAAGUUCCCUUGAAGGUCAACUUUUCUGAUCCUAUGAAAGGGAAAUGGAUUCCCCUUGACGAAGCUUUUUCCUGAGAUCCUACUAUGUGUAAGGUUAAGGAAU
RNAcentral lists this long non-coding RNA (3942 nucleotides) under Sarcophilus harrisii (Tasmanian devil). RNAcentral's name for it is "lncRNA (ENSSHAG00000027479.1)". The record is from RNAcentral. Lineage: Eukaryota; Metazoa; Chordata; Mammalia; Dasyuromorphia; Dasyuridae.